AUAUUGCACAAUGGGCGGAAGCCUGAUGCAGCGACGCCGCGUGAGGGAUGACGGCCUUCGGGUUGUAAACCUCUUUCGGUAGGGACGAAGCGUGAGUGACGGUACCUACAGAAGAAGCGCCGGCCAACUACGUGCCAGCAGCCGCGGUAAGACGUAGGGCGCGAGCGUUGUCCGGAUUUAUUGGGCGUAAAGAGCUCGUAGGCGGCUCGUCGCGUCGGCUGUGAAAACUUGCGGCUCAACUGCAAGCUUGCAGCUGAUACGGGCGGGCUAGAGUUCGGUAGGGGAGACUGGAAUUCCUGGUGUAGCGGUGAAAUGCGCAGAUAUCAGGAGGAACACCGGUGGCGAAGGCGGGUCUCUGGGCCGAUACUGACGCUGAGGAGCGAAAGCGUGGGGAGCGA
RNAcentral lists this ribosomal RNA (398 nucleotides) under uncultured bacterium. Its description in RNAcentral is "bacterial SSU rRNA". It matches the Rfam family "Bacterial small subunit ribosomal RNA", at positions 361 to 771 of the family's 1533-position model. The record is from RNAcentral.